RNAcentral lists this unclassified non-coding RNA (164 nucleotides) under uncultured Lachnum. RNAcentral's name for it is "sequence contains ITS1". Lineage: Eukaryota; Fungi; Ascomycota; Leotiomycetes; Helotiales; Hyaloscyphaceae. The record is from RNAcentral.
CAGAGCUCGUGCCCUUCGGGGUAGAUCUCCCACCCUUGUGUACUAUCAUUAAACGUUGCUUUGGCGCGCCGUACGCACAGCUUACCCGGGGAUCCUCCGGUGUGCGCGCCAGAGGACCCCUAAACUCUGAAUGUCAGUGUCGUCCGAGUACUAUGUAAUAGUUA